GACGAACGCUGGCGGCGUGCUUAACACAUGCAAGUCGAACGGAAAGGCCCUGCUUUUGUGGGGUGCUCGAGUGGCGAACGGGUGAGUAACACGUGAGUAACCUGCCCUUGACUUUGGGAUAACUUCAGGAAACUGGGGCUAAUACCGGAUAGGAGCUCCUGCUGCAUGGUGGGGGUUGGAAAGUUUCGGCGGUUGGGGAUGGACUCGCGGCUUAUCAGCUUGUUGGUGGGGUAGUGGCUUACCAAGGCUUUGACGGGUAGCCGGCCUGGGAGGGUGACCGGCCAAAUUGGGACUGAGAUACGGACCAGACUCCAACGGGAGGCAGCAGUGGGGAAUAUUGCACAAUGGGCGGAAGCCUGAUGCAGCAACGCCGCGUGCGGGAUGACGGGCUUCGGGUUGUAAACCGCUUUCGCCUGUGACGAAGCGUGAGUGACGGUAAUGGGUAAAGAAGCACCGGCUAACUACGUG
Molecule: ribosomal RNA, 468 nt
Filed under: uncultured bacterium
Lineage: Bacteria
Description: partial 16S ribosomal RNA
Rfam family: Bacterial small subunit ribosomal RNA
Source: RNAcentral